This 1433-nucleotide ribosomal RNA is filed under the name uncultured organism. RNAcentral describes it as "SSU rRNA". It matches the Rfam family "Bacterial small subunit ribosomal RNA". The record is from RNAcentral.
CAGGCUUAACACAUGCAAGUCGAGGGGCAGCAUGGUCUUAUCUUGCUAAGGCCGAUGGCGACCGGCGCACGGGUGAGUAACACGUAUCCAACCUGCCGUCUACUCUUGGACAGCCUUCUGAAAGGAAGAUUAAUACAAGAUGGCAUCAUGAGUCCGCAUGUUCACAUGAUUAAAGGUAUUCCGGUAGACGAUGGGGAUGCGUUCCAUUAGAUAGUAGGCGGGGUAACGGCCCACCUAGUCUUCGAUGGAUAGGGGUUCUGAGAGGAAGGUCCCCCACAUUGGAACUGAGACACGGUCCAAACUCCUACGGGAGGCAGCAGUGAGGAAUAUUGGUCAAUGGGCGAGAGCCUGAACCAGCCAAGUAGCGUGAAGGAUGACUGCCCUAUGGGUUGUAAACUUCUUUUAUAAAGGAAUAAAGUCGGGUAUGGAUACCCGUUUGCAUGUACUUUAUGAAUAAGGAUCGGCUAACUCCGUGCCAGCAGCCGCGGUAAUACGGAGGAUCCGAGCGUUAUCCGGAUUUAUUGGGUUUAAAGGGAGCGUAGAUGGAUGUUUAAGUCAGUUGUGAAAGUUUGCGGCUCAACCGUAAAAUUGCAGUUGAUACUGGAUAUCUUGAGUGCAGUUGAGGCAGGCGGAAUUCGUGGUGUAGCGGUGAAAUGCUUAGAUAUCACGAAGAACUCCGAUUGCGAAGGCAGCCUGCUAAGCUGCAACUGACAUUGAGGCUCGAAAGUGUGGGUAUCAAACAGGAUUAGAUACCCUGGUAGUCCACACGGUAAACGAUGAAUACUCGCUGUUUGCGAUAUACUGCAAGCGGCCAAGCGAAAGCGUUAAGUAUUCCACCUGGGGAGUACGCCGGCAACGGUGAAACUCAAAGGAAUUGACGGGGGCCCGCACAAGCGGAGGAACAUGUGGUUUAAUUCGAUGAUACGCGAGGAACCUUACCCGGGCUUAAAUUGCAGAUGAAUUACGGUGAAAGCCGUAAGCCGCAAGGCAUCUGUGAAGGUGCUGCAUGGUUGUCGUCAGCUCGUGCCGUGAGGUGUCGGCUUAAGUGCCAUAACGAGCGCAACCCUUGUUGUCAGUUACUAACAGGUUCCGCUGAGGACUCUGACAAGACUGCCAUCGUAAGAUGUGAGGAAGGUGGGGAUGACGUCAAAUCAGCACGGCCCUUACGUCCGGGGCUACACACGUGUUACAAUGGGGGGUACAGAGGGCCGCUACCACGCGAGUGGAUGCCAAUCCCCAAAACCUCUCUCAGUUCGGACUGGAGUCUGCAACCCGACUCCACGAAGCUGGAUUCGCUAGUAAUCGCGCAUCAGCCACGGCGCGGUGAAUACGUUCCCGGGCCUUGUACACACCGCCCGUCAAGCCAUGGGAGCCGGGGGUACCUGAAGUGCGUAACCGCGAGGAGCGCCCUAGGGUAAAACUGGUGACUGGGG